Molecule: ribosomal RNA, 207 nt
Filed under: uncultured bacterium
Lineage: Bacteria
Description: partial 16S ribosomal RNA
Rfam family: Bacterial small subunit ribosomal RNA
Source: RNAcentral
CACGUAGGCGGAUCCUUAAGUCGGGGGUGAAAUCCCGAGGCUCAACCUCGGAACUGCCUUUGAUACUGGGGAUAUCGAGUCCGGGAGAGGUGAGUGGAACUGCGAGUGUAGAGGUGAAAUUCGUAGAUAUUCGCAAGAACACCAGUGGCGAAGGCGGCUCACUGGCCCGGUACUGACGCUGAGGUGCGAAAGCGUGGGGAGCAAACA